RNAcentral lists this ribosomal RNA (424 nucleotides) under uncultured bacterium. RNAcentral describes it as "bacterial SSU rRNA". It matches the Rfam family "Bacterial small subunit ribosomal RNA", at positions 359 to 776 of the family's 1533-position model. The record is from RNAcentral.
GAAUUUUUCACAAUGGGCGCAAGCCUGAUGGAGCGACGCCGCGUGGGGGAUGAAUGGCUUCGGCCCGUAAACCCCUGUCAUUUGCGGUCAAACCUUGCUAUUUAAAAGAUGGCGAGCUGAUAGUAGCGAAAGAGGAAGGGACGGCUACCUCUGUCCCAGCAGCCGCGGUAAUACAGAGGUCCCAAGCGUUGUUCGGAUUCACUGGGCGUAAAGGGUGCGUAGGUGGUUGGGUAAGUCGGAUGUGAAAUCUCGGAGCUCAACUCCGAAAUGGCAUUGGAAACUGCCCUGCUUGAGGGUCGGAGGGGGGACUGGAAUUCUCGGUGUAGCAGUGAAAUGCGUAGAUAUCGAGAGGAACACCAGUGGCGAAGGCGAGUCCCUGGACGACUCCUGACACUGAGGCACGAAAGCUAGGGGAGCAAACAGG